This is a small nuclear RNA of Pelusios castaneus (West African mud turtle), 116 nucleotides long. Its record names the gene U5. It matches the Rfam family "U5 spliceosomal RNA". From Rfam's summary of the family: U5 RNA is a component of both types of known spliceosome. The precise function of this molecule is unknown, though it is known that the 5' loop is required for splice site selection and p220 binding, and that both the 3' stem-loop and the Sm site are important for Sm protein binding and cap methylation. Lineage: Eukaryota; Metazoa; Chordata; Testudines; Pelomedusidae. The record is from Ensembl.
AUACUCUGGUUUCUCUUCAGAUCGUAUAAAUCUUUCGCCUUUUACUAAAGAUUUCCGUGGAGAGGAACAUUUAUGAGUUUGUACCCAAUUUUUUGAGGCUUCGCUUCGGCGAAGCU